Molecule: long non-coding RNA, 844 nt
Organism: Marmota flaviventris (yellow-bellied marmot)
Lineage: Eukaryota; Metazoa; Chordata; Mammalia; Rodentia; Sciuridae
Source: RefSeq, a predicted model, not a curated record
CGAGCUCCUAAUGCACCCCUCCAGGUAGCCUGCUGUCGGAAAGCACAGGGGCUCCAAUGCCUGAGCAGCUUUCUGAGCAGACAUCUAGUUCAUCUCCCCAAGUGCGAGAGGAUGGCUCAGAAGCCACAAUCUCUCUUUCCCUCCUGAUGCUGUCUGAGGCUGACUGCCAGGCUUUCAAUAUAAGGUGCCACACCUUCAGGACUCUCCCCAAUCCUUUUUGAUCACCAAUGAGGUGCAUAUAGAAGAGCCAGUCAGCAGGUGCAAAUUUCUAUCUUAUCUGAACCUUCAGGCAUUCUCCACUCUCUUGAGAUCCAUCGCUUGGCCCAAAUGGUUCAAUAACAAUUUUAGCUGACUUCUUUCCAGUGUCUGGCAGCAUCUGUCCCAGAAAAUUGUAGCUCCACCUCAUAAGAUUGGACAGAGGACAAUGGAUGGAGGACAGUGCCACCCUUAUCUAGACCCCGGGGAGAAAGCACUUCCUACUAUGGCUGCUGUGUAAGGGAAGAGAUGGAGAAAUCAGACCUGGAGGAUUUGACCAGAGAGGUUGUUAAGGUCUGGACAUGAGGUUUUUCUGAAAGAGACAAUGCAAAAUGUUCAAAGGUGAAAUGAUUAGAUUAUGAGAACUGUAACUUGAUUGGUGGAUUAAUCAACUUGAAUGGAUUAAGUGAGAGGUAACUAUAGUCAGGUAGGGUGUGGGCUGGAGGAAGUAGAUCACAUGCCUUUGGGGUUUACAUUUUGUUCCUGGUGAGUGGAGCUUGCUCUCUUUGCCCCCUGGCUCUCAUGUCCUGAGCUACUUUCCUCUGCCAUGCCCUUCUGCCAUGAUGUUCUGCCUCAUCAUGGGCCCAGA